AAAAGUAAUUCCAAAAUUUUAAUUAUUUUUAAUUAAAAUAAAUAUGGUUUUUAUUGACGGUGUUAGAAGAACUGUUAUAUUAGGGGCGUUUGUACAAAAAUAGUGCAUUACGAUAGUACAGAAAUACAUAUAAAUUUAAGAGGAUAUUCAUGCAAAUUUGAAUUUUUAGAAGAAUAUUAUGCAAAAAAAUCUCUGCAAGUUUAUAGAUAAAACCAAGGCCUUGGAUGUUAAUAAACGAGAGACCACACUGGGCAAUUAGUUAACAGUAACUAGACAAUGCUAAUAUCCCUGAAAUCAAGCAAUUAGUAAACAACUUUCUAAUUUAAUCACAAUUUUAAAGAAUACCACUAAUAGAUCGAAUUGGAGUCAGUCGUAUCUUGGUUCAGUAUCUAUCUGAGCCACAAUUGAAUAAGCUUUGGGUUAUAAUCAUGACCUGGUUUUAUCUACUGUACCUCAAGAUGGCAAACCAGCAAUCUUUGUAGGCUAGCAGGACCCAUUUACAUCUCAAGUCACUC
Molecule: long non-coding RNA, 515 nt
Filed under: Phoenix dactylifera (date palm)
Lineage: Eukaryota; Viridiplantae; Streptophyta; Magnoliopsida; Arecales; Arecaceae
Description: long non-coding RNA (PDAC_LNC003484)
Source: RNAcentral